RNAcentral lists this ribosomal RNA (1352 nucleotides) under metagenome. RNAcentral's name for it is "SSU rRNA". It matches the Rfam family "Microsporidia small subunit ribosomal RNA". The record is from RNAcentral.
GGUUGAUUCUGCCUGACGUAUGCGCUUGUCUUGAAGAUUUAGCCAUGCAAGCCAGCAAAGCAUUUAAUGUGGAGCGGCAGACAGCUCAGUAAUACAGUUAUGAUUUACCCGUAAAAGUGGGAUAACCUUGGUAACCUAAGGCUAAAACUACAUAGCGAAUAGUAAUUUUGAAAGUUACAUUCGUGAUACGGCUAAGUUUCUGACCUAUUAGCUUGUUGGUAGGGUAAAGGCCUACCAAGGCGAUGAUGGGUAACGGAGAAUCAGGGUUCGAUUCCGGAGAGGGAGCCUGAGAAAUAGCUCCCACGUCCAAGGAUGGCAGCAGGCGCGAAAAUUACCCAAUAUAAUAUUAUGAGGUAGUGAAGAGACAUGACUAGUAUUGGGGGAUGUGUAAAAUCCAUCCCGUAUCAACUGGAGGGCAAGUCUGGUGCCAGCAGCCGCGGUAAUUCCAGCUCCAGUAGCGCAUAUAAUAGUUGCUGCAGUUAAAACGUCCGUAGUUUAUGACUAGUGCCCUGACUAAAGUAUGGAUCUUAAAGCCGUAAAAUAGCAUGGAACGCUAAUCAAGAUAGGAGCAGAUGGAGGCAAUAGUAUUUAAUAGCGAGAGGUGAAAAUCGAAGACCUAUUAAGGACUAACAGAAGCGAAAGCGAUUGUCUAGUAUGUAUCCGUUAAUCAAGGACUUAAGCUAGAGUAUCGAAGAUGAUUAGAUACCGUCGUAGUUCUAGCUGUAAACGAUGCCGACUAGGUGAGACCAAUUGGUUGUGCCUAAGGAGAAAUCAAAGUCUACGGGCUCUGGGGAUAGUACGGUGUCACCAUUGAAACUUAAAGAAAUUGACGGAAGGACACCACAAGGAGUGGAUUGUGCGGCUUAAUUUGACCCAACGCGGGACAACUUACCAGGACCGAACGGGUUGAGAUUGUUGCACAGAGUUGUGCCUCAAGAUUCCCGUUAAGGUGGUGCAUGGCCGUUUUCAACACGUGGCGUGAGCUGUCUGGUUAAUUCCGACAACGCGUGAGACCCCAUCUGCUAUACCAUGUGUAGUAGGACGGAUAGCGGCAAGCUAUAGGAAGCGGGGCGAUAACAGGUCAGUGAUGCCCCUAGAUGUUCUGGGCUGCACGCGCAAUACAAUAGGGGUGCGAAAAUUGUACCAGAGAUGGUACUGCUAAAACACCCCUGUAGCUGGGAUAAGUCUUUGUAAAUAGACUUUGAACUAGGAAUUCCUCGUAGUCGCAGGUCAUUAUGCUGCGACGAAUGCGUCCCUGUUCUUUGUACACACCGCCCGUCGCUAUCUAUAUGGAUGUAUUGGUGAAACGGUUGGACCCUAACGGUAAGACAAUUGAACCUGUACAACUAAAU